Molecule: long non-coding RNA, 10754 nt
Filed under: Populus trichocarpa (black cottonwood)
Lineage: Eukaryota; Viridiplantae; Streptophyta; Magnoliopsida; Malpighiales; Salicaceae
Description: long non-coding RNA (PTRI_LNC001174)
Source: RNAcentral
GGAAAUUAAUGGCCCAGAGGACCUCUAAGGAAGUUGCCUGGCGCACCAAUGUUUUGAAGAAAAACUUGGAGCAGCCUUGUUUUCAUGUCGCAAUUCCCAUGUAUUUUGCUAGAGCAAUAAGAGAUGAAUUCAGUUUGCAGUUGUCUGAAUAUCGAAGUUAUCUUGCAGCAUACAAGUCUUCCUUGUUUAUAACAAGAACUGGUAUACUCGAGGGUGUGAAAACUGCUUCUGCUACAUAUUACUAUAUAUGAUCCAAUUUUUUGUUCAAUUAUCCAUCAGUUAGUUUAUUGGAAGGUUUACGAUGAUGACGACUCUCUGCAUUUCUUAUUAUCUCAUGGAAAUUUUGGUGAUGUCCGUAUUUAGUUCACAUCAAGUCUGGUGAAAACCUAAAAAUCAAGACUAUUAAUUUGACUCUAGAAGUUCAAUCUAGAACUGGUGUAGAACUAGCGUGGGGUGAGUUUUAAAUUAAAUCAGGCAAUAAUUGACUUGAUUAACUUUGGUUUGACUUAAAUGAUAUUGUUUUGACAUUUAGAAUUUCACAUUAUGAUGGGCCGAUGGCAAUAAGAUUGGUUGUUAUACUUGUAUGUAUUUAUCACUUUGGUACCCUAUCAUUGAAAGCUUCCAAUCCUUAACAAAAUUUGGCAAAUUUUUCAUCAUUUUAGGCAUAGAGGGAAGCAAUUGAAAGAAAAAUUCAAGGAUGGAAAAACAUUUGUUACAAUAAAUGUCGUUAUGUUAUAAUUCAAUCCUUAAAAAAAUUUGACAAUUUUUUUUUUAGCAUUCUAGGUUUAGGUUUAGAGGGAUGCAUAGAAAGAAAAAAAGGUUGAAAAAAUUAUUGCCACAGUAAACAUCCUAAGCAUUUUAGUAUAUGUUACUAGCUAUUUGACUGCGUUCCGUCACCGGUUGGAUAUUUUUUUUCCAACAAAAAUAAUGAACAUGCAAGAUUUCUUGACACAUUUUCUUACCUGAAAAGUAUUAAGUGUAAAUUGAAAAACAUAUGCAUAUAUCUAAUUACAUAAAAUAAAAAACUAUUUGUGUCAGUAAAUAAAUAAAAAGUUAUAAACAAUAACUAAAUACAUAUCUGAAAAAGUCGAGAGGCGGAUGUAGAUCAAGAUAUUUAAUAUUGUAACACAGGGUAUUUACAUGAUUGUGUUCAUCACGCUAUUUAUUAAAAUCAAUUUUUUAUUUAAUCAAAUAAUAGUAGAAAUAGACACACAUGGAAAAUUGAUUGAAUAAAAUUAAAGGGAAAAAAAUAUCUUUCAAGGUUGCACUUAUUUGAAAUACUAUCAAAAAAUAUUUUUUUAAAAAAAGUUUCAAUUAUAUAAAACAUAAAAUAAAUUAUAGUUGAAUUAGAAUAAUCUCUUUAAAAAUUAAAUACAAACAAAAUAAAUAAAUAAAACCACUAUUUUAAAAAAGCUAAAUACAAAAAAUAAGAAAUCAGAGAGAAAAUAUUAAUUUAAAUAUAAAUAAAAAAAUAAUUUUAAAAAACUCAUAAAAAACAUGAUUUUUUAAAAGGCAAAAUUACCAAAAAAAAAAAAAAAGAAAUAGGGCUCGCACGUGGACUCUGUUUUUUUUUUUUUUUUUUGAAAAAUGAAAUCAUCCCUCCAUUAUUUUUUGAAAAAAUAUUCUAGACGACUCAUCGUCUGGUUUUCCCCAUAUUCCAGUCGCUGUGGUGGCAAAAAAAACAAGAUAUAUUUUUUUCCAGCUCGUUUUGAUCCAGAACCCCUAAAAAAUAGUCUAAACACCUUUAAAAACGCAUUAAUGGCCUUAAGAAAAAAUCACAUAAAAACUUGAAACAAAAAAUAUUAUCGAGCUUAGAUCUGGUUCUUAAGAAAAUUUCAAGGUGAAAAAACACAUAAGUAGAACUCUCAUCACCAAAUGGAACUCGUUGAUACCAAGAUCAACCAUUUUGGUGGUCAGAUAAUCAACUCUCUCUACCAUUGGAAUCAAGCAAUCUCUCUCUUUUCUCUCAAACCAUGAACUAGAAAAUAACAAAAAUGAGAUUUUAUUUUAAAAUUGAAUUUCAAAAAUAUUGAGGGGCCUAAAAGGUAUAAUUUGUAAAGUUUGAGGACUAAAAUAAACUUUUUAUGAGAACUUGAAACCAUCACCCAUUGUGGUGUCUUUUCUACUUUGAUUCUCCAUCUUUUAAUUUAAUUCUCUAUCAACAAAUUUGAUUCAAUUAUUCUUUAAAUUGGUCUAAAAAGGAUACAAUUGCACAAAAAAAAGUUUAAAGAUCAAAAUAAAAACAACGAGUCUAUAUUAAAAUGUAAGAGGGUAAACAAUGUGUGUAUGCAUAAUGUUUUACCCAUAAGUCAUAACGUUCAUCGUUUUGUCAUACAACAACAACAAUAUAACUAGGCGUUUUAGUAUAUAUUGAUCAUUGACCCGCGUUACCCUGCAGACCAAGUUAAAUUUUUCUUGAACUUCAAAAAAAAUACUCAGAUGUUGCUACUAUUUUUUUCUGGUGAAAAAAAAAAUCUAAACCUUAUGGAGAUUGACUUGAUGUGACAUGGUUAACUUUGUGGGUCCAAAAGCAAAUGAGACGAAUCAUAAAAAAUAUAGUUUGACUCAAAAUAAAAUUUUAGGAUGCCAUUUUUUUUAAUAUCAAGAUAACAACAUAUUGAAUUGACUUGAGUCAACUUGAGUUAACAUGUCUACUCUACAACUCGAGUCAUGAAACUAUGAUAACCCCAUUAAAACAAAUUAUGAAGCAUAAUUCCUAAUCAACCUAAUAUUUUAGGAUAAAAUUAAAAAAAAUUUAAAAAAGACCUAAAAAAUAGCCUCGGAUUAACCUGUCAAACUCGCAACCUAAGUCAUAAGACCAAGAUAACCCCUUAAAAAGCAAAUCAAUACAAAUUAUAAAGUCCAAUAAUCAACCCAAUGUUUAAAGACAUGAUUAGAAAAGGAAAUCAAUUUUAAAAAGAACAUAAAAAACAACCCGAGUUAAUCAGCCAAACCCAUGACUCAGCUCAUGGGACCGAGAUAGCCUCAUAGAAAGAAAAUAAAAAGACGAUUUGAUUUAACUCGGGUUAACCUGUCAAAUCCAUAGCUCUAGUCAUGAAACUGAUAUAACACAUUAGAGAGCAAAACAAACAAAUUAUGAAGUUCAAUUCUCAAUCGACCUCGUUGGAUUCAAUAUUGAACAAUAAAAUUUGAAAAUACAUUUAAUUAAAAAAAUGAGUCAAGUCAACCCGAAUUAACUCGUUAAGGAUUAUUCUUUGGUUAUAAGGACCUAUAAACCAAAUCACAAAACUAAGAUAACUUCUUAAAAAGAAAAGAAAAAAAAACAACAACCUGAUUUAACCAGAGUUAAAAUGACAAAACUCAUGACACUGACCAUGAGACCAAGAUAUUCCUAUAAAAAAAAAUUAAAACAUAUUAUAAAGCUUAAUUUUGAACCGAUUCAAUGUUGAAUGAUGAAAUUAAAAAAAAAAUUCAAAUAAAAAAAGAUAAUACAAACAAUCCGAGUUAACUUGAGUUUACCUAUUAAAUAUUAUUCCGAGGUUAUAAGGUUGGAAUAACCUAAUAUAAAAUAAACAAAAUAAAUCAUAAAAAAUAAUUUUAAAUCAAUUCAAUAUUAAAUAAUAAAAUUAAAAAAAUUAAAAAAAAAAUUUUAAUCAAUGAGGUUAACCGCCUCCUUUAUUAUUUAUGUUAUUUAUGUCACGAAAGAAGGGCAGUAAAAAAUAAAUUUAAUAUUAAAAAAUAUUUUUUUAUUAAAACACUGAGUAAAAAAAAAUUAGUACAAUAAAACAAACCAUCUUCUAGGUUUUUUUUUUUUAAAAAAAAUAAUUAUAAUUAUAAUAUAAUUUGCUGUUUCAUCAUCGUCGACACGCCAGUGUUUCCCGUUCAUUCCCACAUACUUUUCUUCCCGAAACUUCUGCAUUUAGAGACGGACGAUCCUGCUUCCCCAAAUCCCUUUCUUCAAUAUUCCAGAUUUGUUACAAAGUGUCUCUGUCGUAUUGGUCAAUAAAAAACCAGACCACUUCAUGAUGAUGGCGGCGGCGGCGGCGGUGAGACGUCGAGGUUCAGAAGCCUUUUUUAUUGGGGCCCAAAUUCAGCGAUGUCAAAUGAAAAUAAUGGGUAUGAUUCUUCUUCUAUCUCCAACCACUUUAUCACUGUUGUCUACCAACCACUCCAACUCCAUUUCUUCCUCUAGCAGUAGCAGUAGAUAUAAACACAGCAAUGAUGCUUCUUUAUUUAGAAACAUUGAUGAUGCCCUUUCUUGUUUCAAUCACAUGCUUCAUAGGAAACCCCUGCCUUGUAUCAUCCAAUUCAAUAAAUUAUUAUCUGCAAUUGUCAAAAUGAGACAGUAUUACGAUGCUGUGAUUUCUCUUUCCAAACAAAUGGAAUUAGCUGGGCUCUCUCCUAAUACUUAUACCCUUAAUAUGUUGAUUAAUUGCUUCUGCCAGUUGCAACGUAUUGAUCUUGGGUUCUCUGUCUUGGCCAAAGGCAUUAAACUUGGUCUUCAACCCACUAUUGUCACAUUUAACACCUUAACCAAUGGGCUCUGUAAAGUGGGUAAAUUUUCCCAAGCCGCGGAAUUAUUUGAUGACAUGGUGGCAAGAGGGUGUCAACCUAAUGUCCACACUUAUAAUACAAUUAUCAAUGGCUUAUGUAAGAUCGGGGAAACUGCUGCUGCUGCUAGAUUGUUUAAGAAAAUGGAAGAGGCAGGCUGCCAGCCUAAUGUGGUGACAUACAGUACAAUCAUUGACGGUCUUCGCAAAGAUAGGCGGGUGAAUGAGGCUUUAGAUAUCUUCUCUUAUAUGAAGGCUAAAGGCAUUUCCCCUGAUAUUUUCACUUACACCUCUUUAAUCAAGGGCUUAUGCAAUUCCAGCCGAUGGAAGGACGCUUCAGCAAUGCUAAAUGAAAUGAGGAGUUUGAAUAUCAUGCCAGAUAGUGUCAUCUUCAACGUGCUAAUUAAUACAUUUUGUAAAGAAGGCAAGGUUUCACAGGCUCAAGGUGUGUUAAAAACAAUGACUGAAAUGGGUGUGGAGCCUGAUGUUGUUACUUACAGCUCAUUGAUGUAUGGAUAUUCCUUGUGUAUGGAAGUUGUUGAAGCUAGAAAGCUUUUUGAUGUCAUGAUAACCAAGGGUUAUAAACCUGAUGUUUUUUGUUAUAACAUCUUAAUUAACGGAUAUUGUAAGGCCACAAGGAUAGAUAAGGCCAAGCAACUUUAUAAUGAAAUGAUUCUUCAAGGCUUAACUCCGGACAAAGUUACUUACAACACCCUUAUUCAUGGCUUGUGCCAAUUAGGCAGGCUUAGGGAAGCACAAGAUCUUUUCAAGAAUAUGCACAAGAAUGGCAACCUCCCAGAUUUAUUUGCUUACUCAAUAUUGCUCGAUGGCCUUUGCAAACAAGGGUAUCUUGGAAAGGCAUUCAGAUUGUUUCGAGCAAUGCAAAGUUCCUCCUUGAAGCCUGAUCUGGUGAUGUAUAACAUCCUGGUUGAUGCCAUGUGCAAAUCCGGGAAUCUUAAAGAUGCAAGGGAACUGUUUUCAGAACUCUUUGUCAAAGGGUUGCAGCCUAAUGUUCAGAUAUACACUACAAUAAUAAAUGGACUUUGUAAAGAAGGAUUGUUAGAUGAAGCAUUGGAAGCUUUCCGAAAUAUGGAAGAGGAUGGCUGCCCUCCAGAUGAAUUUUCUUAUAAUGUUAUUAUCCGAGGAUUUCUCCAGCACAAGGAUGAAUCAAGGGCAGUGCAUCUUAUUGGUGAAAUGAGAGACAGAGGUUUCAUUGCAGAUGUGGGGACCACAACGUGGUAGAAAAUCUGUUAUCUAAUGAAGACAAUCCUGUUCUGAAGAAGUAUCUAGGCUUACUUGAAUCUCGUCAAGGUGAAAAGGUGAUGUCAUUUUUUCACGCCGCUAAUUCAUGUUGCAAAUAUUAGGCAUCUUUUUUUCUCUCUGGUUAAUUUAUUGUUAGUUCAGUCUUGUCAAAAUCUUGACAAUGACACCAAUUACUAGCUUUGUUUCACAAAUCAUAAUACUUGUUUUGGACAAGCAUUCACUUCUCUAGGUUUAUACACGCACAUUUAUGUUUGUCACUAAAUACGUGUGGAAUUGAGUUAAAGUGAUGAAUCCAUUUUUCUCAUUAGCGAUUAAACUAGUGUAAAUUUUCAUCAUCUUGGGUAACUUCAAAAACACUUUUCUUAAAGCAAACAAGACAUAAUUUAAGUGCUACUGCAUGUAGAAGGUUCUCAAUUACUGUGCCUUAUGGAUGCAGGUGGAUGCUACCCCUAAUUCUGCAAAUGAGAAACAAAUAAAUAUGCAAGCAGCCCUAGUGAGUUUGGAUUAUUUUGUGUUUUGUUCUGUUUGCAAAGUUGGGUAAUAUUUGUUUUCAUGGUUGAAUAUGUAUGGUAUGUUUCCUUGAAAGAGCAUCAUAUAUUCAUUUUUAGUGUUGGACAACUGAUUUUCAUGAUGUUUGAUGAUAAUGAUAUAGCAACACGCAAGUGGAAUUCGAUAGAGAAGUUUUAAUCUAAUUUUUAUUAUAAUUGGAUGGUUGGUAUCAUUUGUGUGAAUAAAUAAGAGAUUCUCCAGUGAGCACUCAAUAUGAUCCUUCGUUGCUAAGUUUUCUGGAAAAAUAAAAUAGGAGAAGGUAGGUUGGGGGCCAGGUUUUCAUGGAUGCCAAAGGAUCAAUCUUUCCAAAGUAAUACUCCCAUAUCUAUUCUUCCAUUUUGGCUUAUUCAAAAUCUUAAUGCAUAAAAGGGCAUCUAUUUCUUAGAUGCAUAAUUGGCAAGACCUCCAAGUAUCUCCUCUGUUUUUCCUUCUUUUGAGGGUAACAUAAGCCAAUGCUAUUACUUAGCCUCCUCUGUUUCUUUCUCUGUGAUGCUUUUGCUGUAGUUUCAUCAGAAUCUAGGAAUCUAGAAUUUCUGGAAUUGUGUUGUUAUUUUUCUUAUGUAUAGCCUGUAAAUUCAUGGUCAAAUCUAGAGAUUGCUGACAUCCUUUAUAAUACUUAAUUUCUGAUAAACAUUUCUGGUAUAGUUAUUCAAGCAAAAUGCCAUUCAUAUAGAGGACAAAGAGAAAAGAGAGAGGGAGAUGAGAAAACAGAUCAUCAAUAAAACUAAAGAUUAUGAGCAAGCUUUUUAAGCGGGAAAAGCUGCAAACUUGUGAAACCAAAAGAAUCAGAGUGCAACAUUUACUCCUUCCAAUUUCAUAUGAUCUCUUUUGGAUUCCCACUUUUUUUAUUCCCCACACCUUAAAGAGCCGAUAAAAUAGAAAAUAGGAAUCGACGUUGCUGAAAUUACAAAAUUAUUAGGGCUUGACUGCAUAAAUUCCGAAUUUAUUGAAUUAUUUAUUAAUUGGUUGAAUUUUUUUGUGAAUUUUGUGUGUGAAAGUGGGGAAGCGCAGCAAGUUGAGUGGAGUAAGAUUCAGACACCUACUGAUGAAGUAGUGGUUCCCUUUGGGACAAGAUGUUGUUUUGAAGCUUAAUGGAGGUUUAGUCCUAGGUAUGUAAACUUUUGUUUGUUAUGUUUGGUGCAUUUUAAUCUGUACAUCAAAUUGCCAGGGAAGAAAAAGAAGGCUGGUGACCACAGCUUGAUGGUUGUUGUUUUUUUGGUUGAAACAAUUUACCCUUUUGUUUGUGGUGCAGAAUGGAGGUUUUGGAGAUAUAUAUGACAUUGAACUUGAUUUAUGUUGUUGUGUUUCUUGACCUUAUUGUCAUCCAGAUCGAGGUGAGUGUUUGUUGUUGCUCUUCUCUUCUGCUUUGAUUUUGAUUUGGUUCUGUUGUUGCAUGGAACUAACUGUUAAAGUUGCUGCAGAAUCUUAACAACAAAUAUGGGUGCAGCGUUCCCUUGUUUCUAAUGAACCCAUUCAACACUCAUGAUGAUACACAGAAGGUGCCUGAUCCUUACCUUUUUCUCCUGCUCUGUGUCUUGUCCUUGUUAGAUUUUGCUUGUAUAGUAACACCAGUUGUUGUCCAACUUAGAUUAUUGAGAAGCACUCAAUAAUGAAGGUGCAAGAAACACCAUUGAUCAGUACCCUUUAGAUAAAGGCAAGAAACACCAUUGAGGUGCUCAUGUACAGUAUUGAGGUAAAUGGCACCAGUGGAGAAGAGGUAGAUUAACCCACUUGAGGCUGGCAGCAUUCCUGUAAUUGAAAAUGAUUGUUCAUUUCCUUCAAUCCAUCUGGCAUUUGCUUAGCAGUUUGCCUUGAUAGCAAUGGAAUUAGCACUCAUUUACGCUAUUUUUGGAGACUAUCUUAAUUGAGUUCUUGUCCAACUGAUUCUGUUUGAAACAGGUCAAUGAGUUCACGCCGAUUGAGAAGUUCAAAAUUUUCAAUAAGAACAACUUGUAAGUAAACCUUGCCAUCAAUGCAGCAAUUAUACUUUGAUAUGCUACUAACAAUAUAUGCUAUAACAGGUGGGUGAACUUGAAAGCAAUCAAAAGGCUUGUGGAAGCUGAUGCACUUAAGAUGGAGAUUAUUCUAAACCCAAAGGUAUGUUCUUAUUUCUUUCCUUUCACCUGUUGUUUCUUUAUUUCCAGAAAUGAAAAAUUACAAUUUUAGAAUGGCUAAUUAUGAUAAUGUUAAUCUUGCUAUCAGGAUGUGGAUGGAGUCGAAUUUCUUCAGCUAGAAACUGCAGCUGGAGCAGCAGUUAGGGUACUUGAUACUCUACAUAAUUUUUCAUGAGGUUUUUAUUUUGAAAUCACACAUUUGAUGCAAUUUUUCCUCGUCUACCAGUUCAUUGACCAUGCAAUUGGUAUAAAUGUACCUUGAUCUCGAUUCCUUCCAGUGAAGGCUUCUUCAGAUCUGCUUCUUGUUCAGGUUGCUUUCUUUUCUUUCACUGCCAUUAGAUCUUGGAGAACUGUUUGCAACUCGCUUAACUCAUUUGGUUGCCUCUUUUGCAGUCUGAUCUUUACACUUUAGUUUAUGGCUUUGUCGUCCAAAAUCCAGCUAGAACAAAUCCUGCAAAUCCUUUUAUCAAACCGGGCCCAGAAUUUAAGAAGGUGAAAAAUUAUUUGAUAACAAGCACCCUUAUGAGUUCUUUUAAUAUAUAUAUAUAUAUAUAUAUAUAUAUAUGAUUUUUUUCUCCUCCUGGCAGGUUGCAAACUUCUUGAGCCGAUUUAAGUCAAUCCUUGUAUCAUUGAGCUCGAUUGUCUUAAGGUUGCUGGUGAUGUAUGGUUUGGUGCUAAUAUUAUUCUCAAGGUAUUACAUGUUCUUUUGUUACUUUUUUAUGCUCACUAUUUAACCAUUUGCCCCCAUGUAUAUGUGUACCCUUGGGAAAUUAGGUGAUGAAGUUGCAAGUGUUUUCAACUUUUACUAACUUGAAUACCUAUCCUGAAUGUUGUAUGGUGUUACUGGUGAAAAAACCAUAUAUUUUAUAAGGUGCUUGUAUUAUGAUACAAGGAACCGAUUGGUGUUAAAACAAAGGCCAUUGAAUUGUUAUGGUCCCACGAAAGUUGGUUUCAUAUGAUGAGGAAAAAUUUGGAGAUUAACCUUCGCAUUGAAAUGGUCUGAGGUGGCCGUCUCAAGAGAUGUCAUCUCACUUUUAGAAGUUCACUCUGUGGAGUCUGAUUCCAGUUUUGUUGACUCACUAUACUCCCAAUUUCUUUGCAAAUGACCGUUUUUACCCUGUGCUCGUUCUACAAAAACUAUUAAUAAACUCUUCGUCUAACAUCAUUUUGGAAGAGUGUUUUCCUUAGCUGGGUGCUGAUAUUUCUUUUUGUAUAAUCAUGGGCAAAGGUAACUGUUUUUACUGUACAGAGAUCUUUUAGAUCCUGUUUGGCAAUGCGGCUAGCUGUGUUUUUGCUAAAAAUUUGAAUUAUUUUUGCUUAAAAUUAUUUUUUUGAUGUUUUUUUGAUCGUUUUAAUGUGCUAAUGUAAAAAAUAAAUUUUAAAAAAUAAUAAUUUUUUUCGAUAUAUUUCUCAGUAAAAAACACUUUAAAAAUCAACCGUUAUAAUAAUAGUGACCACUGCUCUUUAUGUGCCGUAGGAUGGGUGUAUUUAGGAAAAUUAGGAGAUGAGGUGUUUGGAACUUUUACUAACUUGAAUACCUAUCCAUAUUAUAGCGUGGUGUUCCUAGUUGAAAAACCAUGUAAUUUGUAAGGUUCUUAUAUUAGUACAAGCAAUCGAUUGGUGUUAAAAAAAAAAGGCCAUUGAAUUGUUAUAGUCCCACAAUACAAAAAGCCAUUGAAUUUUUUAUAGUCCCUCGAAAGUAAGUUUCACAUGAUGAGGCAAAUUUGGGGUUUAACCUUUCCAUUGAAAUGAUCUGAGGUGGCCUCUCACUCAAAAGUUCCCUCUCUUGAGUCUGAUCCCAGUUCUGUUGACUCGCCAAACUCCUAGUGACCAUUCUUACCCUGUGCCCAUGCUACAAAAAUUAUUAAUAGACUCUUGGCCUAACAUCAAUUUGGAAGGGUGUUUUCCUUAGCUCGGUGGUGAAACUUAUUUUUGUAUAAUAAUGGGCGUAGAUGACUGUUUUUACUGUAUAGAGAUCUUUUAGUGACCAGUAUUGAUUCUCAACAACUUGCGACUUGUAUAGAUCCCUUUAUCUUUAACGUGUUGCAUGUAAUUAUUGAUUUGUUGCCUUAGUCUCUCUGGGUAAAAGCCUUCAUGACCGACACUUGCCAUUCUGUUCCAUCACCUCUGCAGGGAAAAGUGAGCGUCGUGGUGAAAUCUGGUGUGAAACUGGAAAUACCAGAGGGAGUCGCUCUUGAAAACAAGGUAAGAUGCUAAACUUGAAUGAUUUAUCAUAAUUAAAACAUUCUUUGUAUUGGCUCACCAUGGAGUUACCAAUCUCUUUUUCUGUGCCCAGGAAAUUAAUGGCCCAGAGGAC